Molecule: regulatory RNA element, 98 nt
Organism: Carnobacterium sp.
Lineage: Bacteria; Bacillati; Bacillota; Bacilli; Lactobacillales; Carnobacteriaceae
Rfam family: TPP riboswitch aptamer (THI element)
About the family: Vitamin B(1) in its active form thiamin pyrophosphate (TPP) is an essential coenzyme that is synthesised by coupling of pyrimidine and thiazole moieties in bacteria. The previously detected thiamin-regulatory element, thi box was extended, resulting in a new, highly conserved RNA secondary structure, the THI element, which is widely distributed in eubacteria and also occurs in some archaea.
Source: Rfam
AAUGUUUUGCAGGGGGACACAUUUGUGUUGAGAAGGUAAAACCUGACCCUUUGAACCUGUCAGUUAACACUGACGCAGGGAGCACUAUGUACAUAUGU